This 467-nucleotide ribosomal RNA is filed under the name uncultured bacterium. Its description in RNAcentral is "partial 16S ribosomal RNA". It matches the Rfam family "Bacterial small subunit ribosomal RNA", at positions 28 to 507 of the family's 1533-position model. The record is from RNAcentral.
GAUGAACGCUGGCGGCGUGCUUAACACAUGCAAGUCGAACGGUGAAGCAGAGCUUGCUCUGUGGAUCAGUGGCGAACGGGUGAGUAACACGUGAGCAACCUGCCCCUGACUCUGGGAUAAGCGCUGGAAACGGCGUCUAAUACUGGAUAUGAGCUGCGACCGCAUGGUCAGCAGUUGGAAAGAUUUUUCGGUCUGGGAUGGGCUCACGGCCUAUCAGCUUGUUGGUGAGGUAAUGGCUCACCAAGGCGUCGACGGGUAGCCGGCCUGAGAGGGUGACCGGCCACACUGGGACUGAGACACGGCCCAGACUCCUACGAGAGGCAGCAGUGGGGAAUAUUGCACAAUGGGCGAAAGCCUGAUGCAGCAACGCCGCGUGAGGGAUGACGGCCUUCGGGUUGUAAACCUCUUUUAGCAGGGAAGAAGCGAAAGUGACGGUACCUGCAGAAAAAGCGCCGGCUAACUACGUG